RNAcentral lists this ribosomal RNA (301 nucleotides) under uncultured bacterium. RNAcentral's name for it is "partial 16S ribosomal RNA". It matches the Rfam family "Bacterial small subunit ribosomal RNA", at positions 509 to 807 of the family's 1533-position model. The record is from RNAcentral.
CAGUAGCCGCGGUAAUACGAAGGGUGCAAGCGUUAAUCGGAAUUACUGGGCGUAAAGCGUGCGUAGGCGGUGAGUUAAGUCUGCUGUGAAAUCCCCGGGCUCAACCUGGGAACGGCAGUGGAUACUGGCUCGCUAGAGUGUGUCAGAGGAUGGUGGAAUUCCCGGUGUAGCGGUGAAAUGCGUAGAGAUCGGGAGGAACAUCAGUGGCGAAGGCGACCAUCUGGGACAACACUGACGCUGAGGCACGAAAGCGUGGGGAGCAAACAGGAUUAGAGACCCCUGUAGUCCCUGUCUCUUAUAC